GCAUGGGUGGCUUAGUUGGUAAAGCGUCCGAUUUUGGCUCAGGUCAUAAUCUCACGGUUUGUGAGUUUGAGUCUCACCUCAGGCU
Molecule: transfer RNA, 85 nt
Filed under: Felis catus (domestic cat)
Lineage: Eukaryota; Metazoa; Chordata; Mammalia; Carnivora; Felidae
Rfam family: tRNA
About the family: Transfer RNA (tRNA) molecules are approximately 80 nucleotides in length.
Source: Rfam by way of RNAcentral